Long non-coding RNA from Oncorhynchus keta (chum salmon), 281 nucleotides. RefSeq lists it as uncharacterized. The transcript has 3 exons. NCBI's taxonomy places the organism in Eukaryota, Metazoa, Chordata, Actinopteri, Salmoniformes, Salmonidae. The record is from RefSeq and is a predicted model, not a curated record.
AGAUGAUAGGAACACUGUGGCCAAUUUUCAGCAAGUUGCAACAUUGAACUAACCACUUUUCCAAUAAACAAGGUCUAAAUCAUGUUUGACGCAAUCUGUAAGUGCAAUUUCUGCAUUACUGUUUAAUCUAGAUGAUAGGAACACGGUGGACAAUUUUCAGCAAGUUGCAACAUUGAAAUACAGAAAUAACCACUUUUCCAUAAACAAGGUCUAAAUCAUGUUUGAUGCGCUCGCUAAGUGCAAUCUAAGUGCAAUGUUUUGCCUUGCUGUUUAAUCUAGAU